GACGAACGCUGGCGGCGUGCUUAACACAUGCAAGUCGAGCGGUAAGGCCCUUUCGGGGGUACACGAGCGGCGAACGGGUGAGUAACACGUGGGUGACCUGCCCUCAGCUCUGGGAUAAGCCUGGGAAACCGGGCCUAAUACCGGAUAUGACUCCAUGACGCAUGUUGUGGGGUGGAAAGCCUUGUGCGGCUGAGGAUGGGCCCGCGGCCUAUCAGCUUGUUGGUGGGGUGAUGGCUCACCAAGGCGACGAUCAGUAGCUGGUCUGAGAGGAUGAUCAGCCACAUUGGGACUGAGACACGGCCCAAACUCCUACGGGAGGCAGCAGUGGGGAAUAUUGGACAAUGGGCGAAAGCCUGAUCCAGCCAUGCCGCGUGAGUGAUGAAGGCCUUAGGGUUGUAAAGCUCUUUUACCCGGGAAGAUAAUGACGGUACCGGGAGAAUAAGCCCGGCUAACUUCGUGCCAGCAGCCGCUGUAAC
Molecule: ribosomal RNA, 476 nt
Filed under: uncultured bacterium
Lineage: Bacteria
Description: bacterial SSU rRNA
Rfam family: Bacterial small subunit ribosomal RNA
Source: RNAcentral